This 485-nucleotide ribosomal RNA is filed under the name uncultured bacterium. RNAcentral describes it as "partial 16S ribosomal RNA". It matches the Rfam family "Bacterial small subunit ribosomal RNA", at positions 29 to 523 of the family's 1533-position model. The record is from RNAcentral.
AGUGAACGCUGGCGGCGUGCUUAACACAUGCAAGUCGAACGAGAACGGAAUAUAGCUUGCUAUAUUUGUCAGCUAAGUGGCGCACGGGUGAGUAAUGUAUAGAUAACCUGCCCUUAAGAAAGGAAUAACAGUUGGAAGCGACUGCUAAUGCCCUAUAUGCCUUUAAUACAUAAGUAUGCAAGGGAAACGCUUUAGUGCUUAAGGAUGGGUCUGUAUGGUAUCAGCUUGUUGGUGAGGUAAUGGCUCACCAAGGCUAUGACGCCUAACUGGUUUGAGAGGAUGAUCAGUCACACUGGAACUGAGACACGGUCCAGACUCCUACGGGAGGCAGCAGUGGGGAAUAUUGCACAAUGGACGAAAGUCUGAUGCAGCAACGCCGCGUGGAGGAUGUCACAUUUCGGUGCGUAAACUCCUUUUAUAUAGGAAGAUAAUGACGGUACUAUAUGAAUAAGCACCGGCUAACUCCGUGCCAGCAGCCGCAGUAA